RNAcentral lists this unclassified non-coding RNA (358 nucleotides) under Hevea brasiliensis (rubber tree). Lineage: Eukaryota; Viridiplantae; Streptophyta; Magnoliopsida; Malpighiales; Euphorbiaceae. The record is from RNAcentral.
GAAAAAUGUGCUUGAACUCUGGUAGUUCUUUCUACGGAGUCGGUGAUAUUCAAUCCCAAUUUCACCUGCCAAUAUCCAACCUCUAUGGGGUAGGAUUUUCAGUAUAUGAUGGACUUGUACUUGAGGUACAAUUUGAUAAGGGAGUCACAAAUAGAAUUCCUACAGUUGUAAAGCACAAUCUUGGCAAAGACGGCUAAGUUGUUGAGUUCUGAAGACUUCUUCCCUGUAAAUUAUAUAUACUAUUUCUAGGGUUUUAGUUGGAGGAUACAUUGUACUUCUAUUAGGAUUUGUAUUAGGAUUUGAUAUGGAGCACAAAGGGAAUGUAUUGAUGCAUAGGUAUGACUUUGGGCGAUUGUUA